Molecule: ribosomal RNA, 564 nt
Filed under: Nanosynbacter sp.
Lineage: Bacteria; Bacillati; Minisyncoccota; Nanosynbacteria; Nanosynbacterales; Nanosynbacteraceae
Description: Candidatus Nanosynbacter sp. partial 23S ribosomal RNA
Rfam family: Bacterial large subunit ribosomal RNA
Source: RNAcentral
AAGGUAAAUAAGGGCACUAAUAGUGGAUGCCUUGACAAUCAAUACCGACGAAGGACGUAGAACUCUGCGAUAAGUCUUGGGGAGCUGAGAGCAAGCUUUGAUCCAGGAAUCUCCGAAUGGGGCAACCUAAUACGAGUCAUGUCGUAUUGCAAUUACUUGAACACAUAGAGUAAUUAGACGGGAACCAGCCGAACUGAAUCAUCUUAGUAGGUUGAGGAAAAGAGAAUAAACAAUGAUUCCGAAAGUAGUGGCGAGCGAAAUUGGAACAGCCUAAACCUUAACAUAACCAUACGGUUUAACGGCCAGAGUUAUGAAAGGGGUUGCGAAAUAAGAUAAUUUUUAUGCUGAGGUAUUGGAAAUCCGAUAUUUCAGUAUAAAAACCAACAUCGUUAAAUGAGUGGAUAAUGUUAUAAAACUUAGAUCAUAGCGGAAGUGUUUGAAUGGCACACCAAAGAAGGUGAGAGUCCUGUAUGCGAAAUGGUCUUAGACAUUAUAUAUCUUUUUUCAAUUAGGACGGGGCACGAGAAACCCUGUUUGAAUCCGGCAGGACCACCUGCCAAGGCU